Molecule: non-coding RNA, 515 nt
Organism: Rattus norvegicus (Norway rat)
Lineage: Eukaryota; Metazoa; Chordata; Mammalia; Rodentia; Muridae
Source: RefSeq, a predicted model, not a curated record
CCCUCUCAGAUAUCCCUUCACUACAUCUAGUGUUUACUAAAUGAACUCUAAUUCAGAGGAAACAGCCAUUUGGGAGUGAAAACAAAGAGGAUGAAGAUAUCAGAGAUGGGGAAGAGGAAGCUGGACUUCUUUCAUGGUGCAACCUGAGGCAUUCCACACGGAACCAAGACAAAGAAUAUCAAAACAGUGAUUGAGGCACCUGUGAUACACUGGACUAAAUUUCCUAUAGAAAUUGUCAUCUAUUUUGUCACUUCUAGAAGUAAUACUGGAUAUAACACCUUCUGUUUGAACACAUAGUGAUGGGCAUUUUUUACUCCUGGUAACAGACAACAAGAUUCUAGUGAGAUGUCUACAAAUGACACUUUUUCUAAGUGUAUGAUUGUGUUGUAGCCACCAUUAAUUGUCUCCUUAUAUACAUUUAUUUCUUUAUGUGUUGUCUAUUUUUGUCUCUUCUGACCAUUCUGUUAUUUGUCAUUCUGAAUUGAGAAUUUGUAUUAAAACUAAUAAGCAAUUGA